GACGAACGCUGGCGGCGUGCCUAAUACAUGCAAGUAGAACGCUGAAGAGAGGAGCUUGCUCUUCUUGGAUGAGUUGCGAACGGGUGAGUAACGCGUAGGUAACCUGCCUUGUAGCGGGGGAUAACUAUUGGAAACGAUAGCUAAUACCGCAUAACAAUAGGUGACACAUGUCAUUUAUUUGAAAGGGGCAAUUGCUCCACUACAAGAUGGACCUGCGUUGUAUUAGCUAGUAGGUGAGGUAACGGCUCACCUAGGCAACGAUACAUAGCCGACCUGAGAGGGUGAUCGGCCACACUGGGACUGAGACACGGCCCAGACUCCUACGGGAGGCAGCAGUAGGGAAUCUUCGGCAAUGGGGGCAACCCUGACCGAGCAACGCCGCGUGAGUGAAGAAGGUUUUCGGAUCGUAAAGCUCUGUUGUAAGUCAAGAACGAGUGUGAGAGUGGAAAGUUCGCACUGUGACGGUAGCUUACCAGAAAGGGACGGCUAACUACGUG
This 497-nucleotide ribosomal RNA is filed under the name uncultured bacterium. RNAcentral describes it as "partial 16S ribosomal RNA". It matches the Rfam family "Bacterial small subunit ribosomal RNA", at positions 28 to 507 of the family's 1533-position model. The record is from RNAcentral.